This 63-nucleotide small RNA is filed under the name Cyanobacterium aponinum PCC 10605. RNAcentral's name for it is "Cyanobacterial functional RNA 1". It matches the Rfam family "Cyanobacterial functional RNA 1". Lineage: Bacteria; Bacillati; Cyanobacteriota; Cyanophyceae; Chroococcales; Geminocystaceae. The record is from Rfam by way of RNAcentral.
GCGGAGACAAAGUUUCCGUUCACUCCUCACACCAUAAACCGCUCUUAUUUUUAGGGGCGGAUU